AUUGAACGCUGGCGGCAGGCCUAACACAUGCAAGUCGAGCGGAUGAAGGGAGCUUGCUCCUGGAUUCAGCGGCGGACGGGUGAGUAAUGCCUAGGAAUCUGCCUGGUAGUGGGGGAUAACGUCCGGAAACGGGCGCUAAUACCGCAUACGUCCUGAGGGAGAAAGUGGGGGAUCUUCGGACCUCACGCUAUCAGAUGAGCCUAGGUCGGAUUAGCUAGUUGGUGGGGUAAAGGCCUACCAAGGCGACGAUCCGUAACUGGUCUGAGAGGAUGAUCAGUCACACUGGAACUGAGACACGGUCCAGACUCCUACGGGAGGCAGCAGUGGGGAAUAUUGGACAGUGGGCGAAAGCCUGAUCCAGCCAUGCCGCGUGUGUGAAGAAGGUCUUCGGAUUGUAAAGCACUUUAAGUUGGGAGGAAGGGCAGUAAGUUAAUACCUUGCUGUUUUGACGUUACCAACAGAAUAAGCACCGGCUAACUUCGC
This 483-nucleotide ribosomal RNA is filed under the name uncultured bacterium. RNAcentral's name for it is "partial 16S ribosomal RNA". It matches the Rfam family "Bacterial small subunit ribosomal RNA", at positions 30 to 506 of the family's 1533-position model. The record is from RNAcentral.